GUGUUGUCCUAACUGGGCAGUAUCCUGUGCUCAGAGAAUAGCAAAUGUCCUGAGAGGGUUGAAGACCCAGGGCUGAACUCAGAAGCCACAUUUUAGCUUUGCAGCAAGUUGCUCACAUUGCAGAAUCUUCUGGGAGAGCCACCUGCUGGCUGUCCUGUGACACAUGGACUGAAGCAACCGCUUGGACCUCCAGGCUGGCCCUGUAGACCCUGGUGCAUCCUGGAGAAAGCCAACAGAAACAGGCUGCAUGCACAGCACUCCCUCCCCACUCGCUGAGGGGCUCUCGGUCACUGCGUUUCUGAUACUCCUGCAGCUGUCUCAGAGGACCUAGCUAAGUCCAGAGAUACCACGUGACAGACACAGGAAGAGGCCUCGUACCUGGCAAAAAAAUCUGGAGGUGGCGGGAUCCCAUCCACCUGUGACCUCUGGCUUUUGUCACCGGGGCUGCCCUGAGUCAGAAUGGGCCAGAAAAGUUAAUGCUUAACCCGGAGGUUCUGAGAGAGCCGCUGGCCACUACGUCAGCACUCCGAGGGGACUCGGGUCAUCGCAGACAACCAGCCCUGGUUCAAAGUCCGGAGUCCCCACGAGGUUGCCUGCCAGUGGGAGAAUGCUGGUGUUGAUGCCCCAGAACUUGAGGACUGUGGUUCCAGAAUGCUGACCAUGGUGGGCAGCUACAGCCUCAGGCUGAACCUGUGGGUGACCGUGUGGCUGGUAUCCAUGGGACAGGUCCAUGCUGACUCAGGCAAGAGCUAGGGUAUCAUCAUAGAUGAAGGGUGGUGGAGGCCAGGCCUCAUGGUGGGAGGUUGAGGGCGGAAAGGAAGGAUGCCCAGGGGAGAAGUCACUGCCCAAGUUGGGCCAAGAUGCCACUUGGAACUUUCUGAAUGAAGACCAUGGAUCCUGGGAGAACAUGAGGAACAGAUGAGAGAGAGAGAGAGAGGCCAUGGGUGAAGUUGGCCGGGCUUCUGGAUCCAUCAGAUGUCAUGGUCACCUGCAAACGUCAUUCUUUUAGUAGCUUCUGAGUGACCACUGGUGGGGCAGGUCCUCUUGGCAUUGGAACAGGCUAAACCAAUAGAGUGAUGCUCACAGGGUAGCUAACGAUGUGUGGGGAGAGGGGUAUUCAGGAAGCCCCAACCGGUACAGUGCACGGAGCCCCAAGAGAUGAGCCAGAGGAAGCUGAGGAGGAAGGGCAGGUGACGUCCCUGCAAAGGUCCCCAGGCAGGAGAACUUAGGAGAGGCUGAGGGGCCUGGGCCUGGGGCUGAAGAUGGAAAGACGCCAGGGAGAGGGCACAGCCAGCGGGGUCUGGGAGAGAGCGAGGUCUCGGGCUGGUGAGAUGGUUUCGCAGGUAAAGGUACCUCUUGGACAGGAUCGACAACCAGAGGGUGGUGGUCCAGCACUCAGGAGGCAGAGGAAGGUGGAGCUCUCUGACUCAAGGGUGGCUUCGUCUACAGAAUCAGGGGCGCCACCUGGUGGCCGGAGUCUCAGCCAUGGAAGCCUCGGACCAGACCUCUGUCCAGGUGUGCCAGUGUCCCGGGUGGGCUCAAAAGACACUCAGGUACGCUUCCCAGUUAGCACAGGUGACACAGGAAGCCGAGGGACCCUAAAGAAAUCCACACGGGGCUGGAGUUUCACGCCCAGUACCAGCCUCUCUUCCCACACACUUCGGUUUCCUUCCAGACUUUUCUCCACACACCCAGGUACUUGCUAAUGUAAAAAGUGAGUUGCAGCCCACAGAAUCAGGAAGCUGAUGGGCUCCCACGCACUUCAAGAUGGGGGGGUUCUCCCUCUCUGUCAGCUGAGAUUUCUUCUGGUGGGCAGAGAGUGGCGGCGAGAUAACACCAGACGGGGGUGUGACCAGGAGCCAGGUGAGCUUCUAGACGUCUCCUCCCCCCCUUGUUCUCCCUCCACUGAGGAAGAUGAGGAAGACGGAAUGACCACAGACCUCACCAAGGGGAUAGGGAGUGGGACUGGGGGCAGAUGUCACCCUACAGAGUUCCUUCUGUCCACAAAGGUGGCAUCUCACGACAACCACCGGCCUUUGCCUGUCCCAGGGCUCCUUGACCUGUGGUCUGCCUGUUUGCCUGCUGGAGGUGGGAAUGUGGUAGCCAAGACAGAGCAGAUCCACCUGGAGGCACCUCAGCCCCAGGGACUGUCAGCGGGUAUCUGCUGUGCUUCCCCUGGGAUGUGCUUCUCAGUGGGGGCUCCCUGGCCACUUGUCCUGUUCUCUGAUUCAGAGGGCUUCGGAGCACAGAGGCCACUUCCACAUCGUUGGCCGGGGGAAUGAAGCAACUUCACAGCGACCUGUCUGCUCUUGUCACUUGUGGAAGAGGCGAGGCGAGGACCUGGUGGGAGGUCAUUGUCACACCAGGCGUACCUACCCAUUGCUUCCGUGAGACUAACUUUGAGGGGACCACGACAUCCCGACAGCCUACGGCCCCUUCCAAGGACACCCUGGGAUUCAUUUAAGCUUCCGUUUUCCAGAUGGGGAAACUGAGGCUUGGGGAGGGGAACAACAAAUAGAGCUGCACAUAUGCUGAGUGUCCAAGGACCCCGUCAGUCACUUUCCGCUCGGGAAAGUUAGGGGUGGGGGUGGGGGCUCUCCCUGGCUGUGUGACUCGUGGUUCCUGGGCUAGUGUGUAACAUGUCACUGGUGCAGCUGUCUGUGUGGAGACGUUUCCCCACCCCAGGUGCUGCUGUGUUGUGAGUUGGGCUGGAGUACAAGACGGGCCAUUCAGGGUGUCACAGCCCAGAAUGCAAACUGACUGGAGGACAGCCAGCACUAACCAGGGCCUACUGAGUUCUGUUCCAUAAGUCCUGUGUGACUGUCACACUCAAACCAGGUGUGGGCUGGGAAGGAGGGAGGGCAGGGGAGGAAGGAGGCUCCCUGCCAGUCCUGGGUCAGGUUUGGUGACAGUAGAUCGUUAGGAUGAUUAUAGCCAGUCACCUGGCUAGACAUUUUCUCAUCUUGUCCUAAAAACAAACCCCCAGAGGGAGGAAGGUAAUGGCCCUAUCUAACAGAUAUGGAAAUAGAGGCGCAGAGACUAGGAGUCCAAGGUCACACUAUCUUCCUUGUGGGCUGGUUGUGUGCCCUGGGACCCCACUCUCAGCUGGUCCCUCCUCAUCUUUGUCCCUCCCCCUCAUCCCGGAGGUAUUUCCACAGUACAGGGGGCUUUUUCCUACCCACGGGGGUUGUGUAUCCUUGCUCCUGGGUGUAAUCUUGGCGGGCUUUUUGCAGGCCGUGUUACCCCUGGCAAAUAGUUCAACUUCCCCGAGCUCCUUGAAACGGACAGUUCUUCACACAUAGCCAUGGUGGGUAAGCUGGUCUGAUGCUGUCAGCAACUACCGGACAAGCUGUGCGCUCCAGGAAGGAGCAAGCAGGUCUUGCGUGGGUGGGAGCUCUUUACAAACACGUUGCAGGGUUGUCCCGGAAAGGGCGCAGGUCCUUCAACUUUGAGCAUGGGUGUCCGUUGGAGAAAGCUCGCGUAAGGAGAAACCUAGCUUGAAAUGUCUUUAUAGGUUUGGUGUCGUGAUGCAAGACUCCAGGAACCUACUGGAUGCCUAGCCGCACGAGUGCAGGGCACAGGAGUCCUCUGCCUGGCCCACCUGAGACCCUGAAGUUCACUGGGCAUUGAGCUGUUUCCAGUUCCUGGCUCUUAUGACUAGGGCAGCAGUGAACACGGCGGGGCAAGUGUCUCUGUGGUAGGAUGAACAGCCCUUUGGGUACCUGCCCUGGCGAGGUGUAGCUGGAUCUCAAAGCAUGAGGAACCUCCUCCAUGGAUUUUCACAGAGUUUGUACUCACACCAGCACUGGAGGAGUGUCCCCUACCCCCACAUCCUCAUCACCACGAGCUGUCGUCUGUUUUAUUGCCCUUGGCCAAUUCUGACUGGUGUGAGACUACAUUUUGAAGUAGUUUUGAUUUGGAUUUCCCUGAUGGCAAAGACGUUGAACAUUAAACAAAAAACUUUGUCAGA
Molecule: small RNA, 3970 nt
Filed under: Rattus norvegicus (Norway rat)
Lineage: Eukaryota; Metazoa; Chordata; Mammalia; Rodentia; Muridae
Description: uncharacterized LOC102550673
Source: RNAcentral